CAAAAAUGACUCUCGGCAACGGAUAUCUCGGCUCUCGCAUCGAUGAAGAACGUAGCGAAAUGCGAUACUUGGUGUGAAUUGCAGAAUCCCGNGAACCAUCGAGUCUUUGAACGCAAGUUGCGCCCGAAGCCAUCAGGCCGAGGGCACGCCUGCCUGGGCGUCACGCAU
This 168-nucleotide ribosomal RNA is filed under the name Oxera macrocalyx. Its description in RNAcentral is "5.8S ribosomal RNA". It matches the Rfam family "5.8S ribosomal RNA". From Rfam's summary of the family: 5.8S ribosomal RNA (5.8S rRNA) is a component of the large subunit of the eukaryotic ribosome. It is transcribed by RNA polymerase I as part of the 45S precursor that also contains 18S and 28S rRNA. Lineage: Eukaryota; Viridiplantae; Streptophyta; Magnoliopsida; Lamiales; Lamiaceae. The record is from RNAcentral.